GGGUAGAGGAGCUGUUAUUAACAGUACCUGUUUUUAGCCGGCAGGCAGUGAGAAACAGGGAAAGGAAUCGCAGCCGAAGAAAAUUAUCUGGCAAGCUUAAUUUUCUGGUUGUACAUAAAAUAUAUGUGCAAUUGUCACACGAGUUAAUCAUGUGGAGGGCUACAGGG
This 167-nucleotide non-coding RNA is filed under the name Clostridium polynesiense. Its description in RNAcentral is "Lysine riboswitch". It matches the Rfam family "Lysine riboswitch aptamer". Rfam says of the family: Riboswitches are metabolite binding domains within certain messenger RNAs that serve as precision sensors for their corresponding targets. Allosteric rearrangement of mRNA structure is mediated by ligand binding, and this results in modulation of gene expression. The record is from RNAcentral. Lineage: Bacteria; Bacillati; Bacillota; Clostridia; Eubacteriales; Clostridiaceae.